Molecule: ribosomal RNA, 464 nt
Filed under: uncultured bacterium
Lineage: Bacteria
Description: bacterial SSU rRNA
Rfam family: Bacterial small subunit ribosomal RNA
Source: RNAcentral
CCAGACUCCUACGGGAGGCAGCAGUGAGGAAUAUUGGUCAAUGGGCGAGAGCCUGAACCAGCCAAGUCGCGUGAGGGAAGACGGUCCUAUGGAUUGUAAACCUCUUUUGCCGGGGAGCAAAAAGCGGUACGUGUACCGCAUCGAGAGUACCCGGAGAAAAAGCAUCGGCUAACUCCGUGCCAGCAGCCGCGGUAAUACGGAGGAUGCGAGCGUUAUCCGGAUUUAUUGGGUUUAAAGGGAGCGUAGAUGGGUUGUUAAGUCAGUUGUGAAAGUUUGCGGCUCAACCGUAAAAUUGCAAUUGAUACUGGCAGUCUUGAGUACAGUUGAGGUAGGCGGAAUUCGUGGUGUAGCGGUGAAAUGCUUAGAUAUCACGAAGAACCCCGAUUGCGAAGGCAGCUUACUAAACUGUGACUGACAUUGAUGCUCGAAAGUGUGGGUAUCAAACAGGAUUAGAUACCCCAGUA